This 191-nucleotide small nuclear RNA is filed under the name Diplodia corticola. RNAcentral describes it as "Botryosphaeria corticola U2 spliceosomal RNA". It matches the Rfam family "U2 spliceosomal RNA". From Rfam's summary of the family: U2 is a small nuclear RNA (snRNA) component of the spliceosome (involved in pre-mRNA splicing). Complementary binding between U2 snRNA (in an area lying towards the 5' end but 3' to hairpin I) and the branchpoint sequence (BPS) of the intron results the bulging out of an unpaired adenosine, on the BPS, which initiates a nucleophilic attack at the intronic 5' splice site, thus starting the first of two transesterification reactions that mediate splicing. The record is from Rfam by way of RNAcentral. Lineage: Eukaryota; Fungi; Ascomycota; Dothideomycetes; Botryosphaeriales; Botryosphaeriaceae.
UCAGCUCUCUUUGCCUUUUGGCUUAGAUCCCGUGUAGUAAAAGUUCUUUUUAGUUUAAUCUCUAGAACGCCCCUACGGGGGUUUACUACUUUGCUUGUCUUUAGAACCGGAUCGGUAGCCGCUGAGCUUAGCUUAUGUCACUGGUCACAGUGUCGCCCGUAUUGCACUGUCUCGGGCUGAUGCGAACAACU